Aedes albopictus (Asian tiger mosquito) is the source of this 897-nucleotide long non-coding RNA. RefSeq lists it as uncharacterized. The record is from RefSeq and is a predicted model, not a curated record. Lineage: Eukaryota; Metazoa; Arthropoda; Insecta; Diptera; Culicidae. The transcript has 3 exons.
CAACGUCAUAUACCAAAUACCAUGUAGCGACUGUAACCAAGUCUACAUCGGUAUGACGACGAACAAACUGAGAAAACGCUUAAGUGGGCACCAAUCGAACAUCAAUCAACUCAACCGAUUACGGGACCAGGGUUACACCAACACCGACCAAGCAAUGAUCCAACAGAGCUCAAAAACAGCCCUAACCGAGCACUGCGUAAAAGAGGAUCAUCGCUUCGCUCUGCAACAGACGAAAAUAAUCGAUAGGACACACAACAGAUCCACUCUGCCCCUGCUAGAAUGUUUCCACAUCUACAAUACCCCCCGCACAGUGAACCACCGCACCGACGUAGAAGGCCUCAGCUCCAUAUACUGCGGGCUUCUACGAACAAUAGCAGCAAAACAAGUCAAGAGAACCCAACAAACCCGCCGCCACCACAGCACCCCGGCACAUCCAACCCCGACAACCAACAACCAACAGAUGAUCAACAGCAAUAAAUCACCAUAACACUACCCCACAGACAUAGGUACCAGUCCAACUUCACACACAUCGUCACAUGUAACUGAGAGAGACAUUUCAACAAUCUCCCAAAAAUUCUCCAUUAGCAUUUCCACUAAAACUAGUAUUCAGUGUCUAGACGCCAUGAUAGUGUUCGGCGCAGUGGUAAAACAAAUUAUUGUAAACUACACCCUCACCAUCUACCCACAAAUAGCCAACACAAGCUUAAAUUCACCAAACCCGACAGCCCUACGCCAAGCAACCGGCGAUACAAACGUAGCGGUAUCCCUAUAACCUCCCUGAAGAAGACCCAAACCAAGGGUCGAAACGUCGGAUGAAAUAGUAUCACCCCGCUUAUAAUUUAUCCGGACCGAAAAGCCAACCAUAGAGGGAUAACUCUACCAAUCCGUCGGUCGUUU